RNAcentral lists this long non-coding RNA (1073 nucleotides) under Chinchilla lanigera (long-tailed chinchilla). RNAcentral's name for it is "lncRNA (ENSCLAG00000025004.1)". Lineage: Eukaryota; Metazoa; Chordata; Mammalia; Rodentia; Chinchillidae. The record is from RNAcentral.
AAACAAAGACAGUCUUUGUUUCCCCCCAGAACCCUCAGGGGAAACGCCCCUCCAAAUAUUUUAAUGGCAAUUCCAAUGGCUCGUCCAGGGCUCACGGGACGAGGCCAGGGAAGAUCAGCGUCAGGCGGACAGAAAACAUGACUUCGGCAUCGUGGUCGCACGAGGGGACCUCUGACUCGAGCCCAGGUCCCGCCGUGGCGGCCUCUCUCCUCUGUCGGCGGUGUUUGCGGCCCGGGGCGCGGGUGGCGGGCCGCCGUUCACCUCCCAAGUAGAUGGGGACCGGCACAGCCCUCGCGGCUCUGAGACCCCGGUUGCGCCGGGGUCGCUCGGCCGCCCGCAUUCCGCUCCCGGCGCGGCCAGGGCUCCGCUUGCCAGGCUGUGGUGUCAGCGCGAUGUGCGGCCCGCGGCUGCCCGAAACCCACGGCAGGACACGCCGCCGCAGACGCUCGCCGGCCGGCCGCGGCCAGCGCAAACAGGAGGCGGCCUGGGCUUUCCGUCCGCAGAGGGAGGUGUUGAACUUGCAACCUCAAACUUGCCAGGCAGGCGCUGUGCUGCUGAGCUACGUCCCCGGCUCUAACAGUUGACUCUGAUGCACCUUUGUUAGCCAUUGCUACACUUGACCUCUGCAUGUGGUGUUCUAGAAGAAGCGCCAAGAUGUGGUGUGUGAAUUAGAGUUCAUCCACACCUAAGGAGCUUGCACACAGACUGUACUUUCCAGAUACCAUCUCAGGGGCCGAGGGUUAUACAGCUCAGCGGUAUGGUGCUUACCGAGUGUGGGAGAAGCUUUGGGUGUGGAUCUCCAGCAUGGCAAAAAGACACUGUCUCAGAGUUUGGAACCAUACCGUUGCUUUCUAGUGGCCUGAAACUCUGGAAACCACCUGGUGACCCGGCCUGCUGGGACUUUGCCUGGUCCACCCAGCCCAGCUUUCUGCUCAAGUUCCGGUGUAAAAAGUAGGGCUUCAAAUGCACAACAUAAGCUCUUCCUUGAAAACGCCACAUUUUGAAAAUGUCCCUGUCUGGUUCGUUUUCUAUAGCCAUUGCAAUAAACUGCCAGAAACUUGGUAGGUUGAAAC